GACGUAGGGCGCGAGCGUUGUCCGGAUUUAUUGGGCGUAAAGAGCUCGUAGGCGGUGUGUCACGUCGGCCGUGAAAACCUGCAGCUUAACUGUGGGCGUGCGGUCGAUACGGGCAUCACUGGAGUUCGGCAGGGGAGACUGGAAUUCCUGGUGUAGCGGUGAAAUGCGCAGAUAUCAGGAGGAACACCGGUGGCGAAGGCGGGUCUCUGGGCCGAUACUGACGCUGGAGGAGCGGAAAGCGUGGGGAGCAAACAGG
RNAcentral lists this ribosomal RNA (256 nucleotides) under uncultured bacterium. Its description in RNAcentral is "partial 16S ribosomal RNA". It matches the Rfam family "Bacterial small subunit ribosomal RNA", at positions 524 to 776 of the family's 1533-position model. The record is from RNAcentral.